AUUGAACGCUGGCGGCAGGCCUAACACAUGCAAGUCGAGCGGACGAAGGGGGAUUGCUCCUGUAUGCCGCGGCGGACGGGUGAGUAAGUCCUAGGUAUCUGACUGGCCGUGGGGGAUAACGUCCGGACACGGGCGCUAAUACAGCAUACGUCCAGAGGGUGAACGUGGGGGAUCUUCGGACCACACGGUAUUAGAUGAGCCUAGGUCGGAUUAGCUAGUUGGUGGGGUAAAGGCCUACCAAGGCGACGAUCCGUAACUGGUCUGAGAGGCUGAUCAGUCACACUGGAACUGAGACACGGUCCAGACUCCUACGGGAGGCAGCAGUAGGGAAUAUUGGGCAAUGGGCGAAAGCCUGAUCGAGCAAUGCCGCGUGAGUGAUGAAGGUCUUCGGAUUGUAAAGCACUUUAAUUUGGGAGGAAGAGAAGUGAGUGAAUCUCUUGAUGUUUUGACGUUACCAACAGAAUAAGCACCGGCUAACUUCGUG
RNAcentral lists this ribosomal RNA (484 nucleotides) under uncultured bacterium. Its description in RNAcentral is "partial 16S ribosomal RNA". It matches the Rfam family "Bacterial small subunit ribosomal RNA", at positions 30 to 507 of the family's 1533-position model. The record is from RNAcentral.